RNAcentral lists this ribosomal RNA (338 nucleotides) under Herbaspirillum sp. RNAcentral's name for it is "bacterial SSU rRNA". It matches the Rfam family "Bacterial small subunit ribosomal RNA", at positions 567 to 905 of the family's 1533-position model. The record is from RNAcentral. Lineage: Bacteria; Pseudomonadati; Pseudomonadota; Betaproteobacteria; Burkholderiales; Oxalobacteraceae.
GUGCGCAGGCGGUUGUGCAAGACAGAUGUGAAAUCCCCGGGCUCAACCUGGGAAUUGCAUUUGUGACUGCACGGCUAGAGUGUGUCAGAGGGGGGUAGAAUUCCACGUGUAGCAGUGAAAUGCGUAGAUAUGUGGAGGAAUACCGAUGGCGAAGGCAGCCCCCUGGGAUAACACUGACGCUCAUGCACGAAAGCGUGGGGAGCAAACAGGAUUAGAUACCCUGGUAGUCCACGCCCUAAACGAUGUCUACUAGUUGUCGGGUCUUAAUUGACUUGGUAACGCAGCUAACGCGUGAAGUAGACCGCCUGGGGAGUACGGUCGCAAGAUUAAAACUCAAA